This 490-nucleotide ribosomal RNA is filed under the name uncultured bacterium. RNAcentral describes it as "partial 16S ribosomal RNA". It matches the Rfam family "Bacterial small subunit ribosomal RNA", at positions 29 to 523 of the family's 1533-position model. The record is from RNAcentral.
AACGAACGCUGGCGGCGUGGAUAAGACAUGGAAGUCGAACGGGGAUAAGUUUGUAGCAAUACACGCUUAUUCUAGUGGCGAACGGGUGCGUAACACGUGAGCAAUCUGCCGGGAAGUGGGGGAUAGCUCGCCGAAAGGCGAAUUAAUACCGCAUGUGGCCAAGGAGGACAUCCUCCUGACGCCAAAGUCGCAAGACGCUUCCUGAUGAGCUCGCGGCCUAUCAGCUAGUUGGUGAGGUAAUGGCUCACCAAGGCUAUGACGGGUUGAGCUGGUCUGAGAGGACGACCAGCCACACUGGAACUGAGACACGGUCCAGACACCUACGGGUGGAAGCAGUCGAGAAUUUUUCACAAUGGGGGAAACCCUGAUGGAGCGACGCCGCGUGGAGGAUGAAGGUCUUCGGAUUGUAAACUCCUGUCAUGCGGGAACAAGAAAGUGAUAGUACCGCAAGAGGAAGAGACGGCUAACUCUGUGCCAGCCGCCGCAGUAA